GAAUUUUAUAUAUAGCUUAUUUUAGUAUAUUAGUUUCUGUUAAAUUAGGUUAUAUAUUUUAUUGGGAGGAUAGUUAAAUAAUAAAAACUUUAAUUAUAUAUUACAUUGAUGUAUGAAAGAUUAAUGAUUAAUGUUUAUUAAGUUAGAAUUAAUUACCUUAGGGAUAACAGCGUAAUAUUUUUAGAGAGAUCAUAUUAAUAAAAAUGUUUGC
RNAcentral lists this ribosomal RNA (211 nucleotides) under Dolichoderus bispinosus. RNAcentral describes it as "partial large subunit ribosomal RNA". Lineage: Eukaryota; Metazoa; Arthropoda; Insecta; Hymenoptera; Formicidae. The record is from RNAcentral.